CCUACGGGAGGCAGCAGUGAGGAAUAUUGGUCAAUGGGCGAAAGCCUGAACCAGCCAUGCCGCGUGCAGGAAGACUGCCCUAUGGGUUGUAAACUGCUUUUAUACAGGAAGAAACACUCCCUCGUGAGGGAGCUUGACGGUACUGUAUGAAUAAGCACCGCA
This 162-nucleotide ribosomal RNA is filed under the name uncultured bacterium. Its description in RNAcentral is "partial 16S ribosomal RNA". It matches the Rfam family "Bacterial small subunit ribosomal RNA", at positions 338 to 497 of the family's 1533-position model. The record is from RNAcentral.